Molecule: RNA transcript, 764 nt
Organism: Tribolium castaneum (red flour beetle)
Lineage: Eukaryota; Metazoa; Arthropoda; Insecta; Coleoptera; Tenebrionidae
Exons: 3
Source: RefSeq, a predicted model, not a curated record
UCCUUGUUGGCCAAUCCAACAAACCAAAAAUCCCUAAUUUUUUCAAAUUUUUUGAUCAGUUUUUUUUCCCUAAUAAUCUAAACGCUAUAAAAGCAACGGAGAAGAUACCGCAAUUAAUAGUACCACGUUUGUCAGUCAAGUCGAAAAUACUUCAGAAUGCCUGGUUGCACUUCUCGUAGCUCUUGUGCUUCUUGCCCCAAGACUACAAAACCCAAAGCUAAAUCAUCGACCAAGGUCAAGAAACCGGCAGCGAAAAAAUCCACUACAAAAUCUACAACGAAGAGGAGAUCUGCUGCUUGCUCUCCUUGCGGCCCUUGCGGUUCUUGUGGUCCUUGUGGUCCCAAGAAAGCCAAGUCAAGCACGAAGGUAUGAAAGUACAAGAAAGCUAAAGCACCCCGCCGCCGCCGUCGCACCACCAACUGUUGCGAAGACUGCUCCUCUUCUGAUUACAGCACUUCCGACACGUGUAGCUGCUCAGAUUGCUGCACUUCCGACAGCUUUUUCUCUUCGGACUAUGAAACCACCGACAGCGACGACUGCUGUGCUGCUCCAAGAAGAGGAUGCCCAAGGCGUUAAAUGUACUUACAACGCUGGUCGUUAUUUUAAUUUGUUAUGUAAGUUAGUGUAUUUAAGUACUAGUUUUAGUGUUUGACAUGUGUAUUAUCUAAAAUGUUUUAAAUUUCAUUGAUUCCAUUGAUGUUUGCCUACUGAAUAUGUUAUGUAAUGUAUUACUGAUGAUAAAUGAAUAAAGCUUUCUAACGAAA